AACUUCGGUUAUAAGAUCCCUCAAAGAUGAUGAGGUUAAUAGGUUCGGGGUGUAAGCUCAGUAAUGUGUGUAGCUGACGAAUACUAAUCGAUCGAAGACUUAAUCAAAAUU
This 111-nucleotide ribosomal RNA is filed under the name Mammaliicoccus vitulinus. Its description in RNAcentral is "Staphylococcus vitulinus partial 23S ribosomal RNA". It matches the Rfam family "Bacterial large subunit ribosomal RNA", at positions 2815 to 2925 of the family's 2925-position model. Lineage: Bacteria; Bacillati; Bacillota; Bacilli; Caryophanales; Staphylococcaceae. The record is from RNAcentral.